GUGGGGAAUAUUGGACAAUGGGCGCAAGCCUGAUCCAGCCAUGCCGCGUGAGUGAUGAAGGCCUUAGGGUUGUAAAGCUCUUUCAGUGGGGACGAUAAUGACGGUACCCACAGAAGAAGCCCCGGCUAACUUCGUGCCAGCAGCCGCGGUAAUACGAAGGGGGCUAGCGUUGGUCGGAUUUACUGGGCGUAAAGCGCACGUAGGCGGAUCGUUAAGUCGGGGGUGAAAUCCUGGAGCGCAACUCCAGAACUGCCGUCGAGACUGGCGAUCUUGAGUCCGGAAGAGGUGGGUGGAACUCCUAGUGUAGAGGUGGAAUUCGUAGAUAUUAGGAAGAACACCAGUGGCGAAGGCGGCUCACUGGUCCGGUACUGACGCUGAGGUGCGAAAGCGUGGGGAGCAAACAGGAUUAGAUACCCUUGUAGUCC
This 425-nucleotide ribosomal RNA is filed under the name uncultured bacterium. RNAcentral's name for it is "partial 16S ribosomal RNA". It matches the Rfam family "Bacterial small subunit ribosomal RNA", at positions 354 to 796 of the family's 1533-position model. The record is from RNAcentral.